CCUACGGGAGGCAGCAGUGGGGGAUAUUGCACAAUGGGGGAAACCCUGAUGCAGCGACGCCGCGUGAGUGAAGACUUAUUUCGGUAUGUAACACUCUAUCAACAGUGAAGAAAAUGACAGUCCCUGACCAUUAAUCCCCGGCUAACUACGUGCCAGCAGCCGACGUAACACGUAGGGGGCAAGCGUUAUCAGGAUUUACUGGGUGUAAAGGGAGCGUAAACGGUUCUGUAAGUCCGGAGUGAAAGCCCGGGGCCCAACCCCGGGACUGCUGUGGAAACUGGGUAACUGGAGUACAGGAGAGGCAGGCGGAAUUCGUGGUGUAGCGGUGAAAUGCGUAGAUAUCAGGAGGAACACCGACGGCGAAGGCGGCCUGCUGGACUGAAACUGACGUUGAGGCUCGAAAGCGUGGGGAGCAAACAGGAUUAGAUACCCGGGUAGUC
This 440-nucleotide ribosomal RNA is filed under the name uncultured bacterium. Its description in RNAcentral is "partial 16S ribosomal RNA". It matches the Rfam family "Bacterial small subunit ribosomal RNA", at positions 338 to 795 of the family's 1533-position model. The record is from RNAcentral.